GCCUCAUUUUUCCCGGCUCCUAUUUAAGAUGGAGUUGCUCUGGUUCACACACCUCUGACAUGAUCAUUGCCCACUGCGGCUUCCACCUCCCGGGUUCAAGAGAUCCUCCUGCCUCACCCUCCCAAGGUGCUGGGACUACAGGUGUGUGCCACCAGCUCAGCUAAUUUUUGUAUUUUUUGUAGAGAUGGUGUUUUUCCAUGUUGCCCAGGCUGGUCUCAAACUCCUGGGCUCAAGCAAUCCUUCUGUCUCAGCCUCCCAAAGUACUGGGAUUACAGGCAUGUCCCACCAUGCCCAGACUAAUAUUUACUUUUAAUCAGACUAAGAUAGGGUUACUACUUGAGUUGCUAUGGCUCCAGCUGAAAGAAAGCCCGUGCAGUCAUAUCACGCGUAAACAUUUGCUUUAUGCUAAAAAUAUGGUGGACCUGGCAUUACAGCUAUUACAAAUCUCCUAAGAUGUCUCGGGUAGUGUAUUAGUUACUUUUCAUACUGCUAUGAAGAAAUACUGGAAACUGGGUAAUUUAUAAAGAAAAAGAGGUUUAAUGUACUCACAGUUCCACAAGGCUGGAGAGGCCUCAGAAUCAUGGUGGAAGGCAAAGAAGGAGCAAAAAGGUAUGUCUUCCAUGGCAGCAGGCAAGAGAGCACGUGCAGGGAAACUGCCCUUUAUAAAACCAUCAGAUUUAGUGAGAUGUAUUCACUAUCACGAGAACAGUAUGGGAAAAACCUGCCCCCAUGAUUCGAUUACCUCCUACCGGGUCCCUCCCACGACACAUGGGGAUUAUGGGAACUACAAUUCAAGAUGAAAUUUGGGUGGGGACGCAGCCAAACCAUAUCGGGUAGCAACAACCUAGGGUCAGUUUUGCAGGUGGUAAAGCCAUUUACCAAGAUAGUUGUAGGUAAAGAAGGGCAGAUUUAUUAGAGAAAUUGUGAAAAUAUGUUGCAGUGGGCAGCUCAGCAGAGAAGGGGCUACCUGCAAAGAGGCAAGGGCUGGAGGAAAGUUUUAUAGGGUCCUGCUGAAGGGUGCUACGUGUGGAAUGAGGUCAUUGUGCCCGCAGGUUGUUUGUGAUUAGCUGUCUCUAACAAUUGUUCAUACAAUAAUUGUUCAUUAUUGUUCUCAACUUGGGGCUCUCCCCAACCUGGGGACCCUUCCUUAUUGUUGCUUACUUAUCAGGUCUCCACAUAAAGGUGUGGAAACUUCAUUCAUUCAUAUCUUCAACACAAAUUGUAGGUAGCCUGUUUUUUAAAACAUUUAUUCAACAAAUAUUUAGUCCAAGCCACUAUUACUUACUACCUUCUCUACUAUUGUAUGGACUUUUAACUAUCUCUGACACUAUUCACUAUUCUUCCACAUUCUCUAUUAUUUAUACCUAUGGUAAAAUUUGCCAGUUUGACCAUACAACUAAUACUCACAGGGAAUAUAUAGAGUCUAGAAGAAAAUAUACAGGUCCUUAAAGGCUGCCCUGCCAACAAAACCAUAACGCAGGAACAAACAUCACAACUAUGCCAAAUAAUCAAUCCUACAAUGUCCAAAAUUUUACUUUAAAACUGGAAUUACCAGACUUCCUUUCUGCAUUAACCAGUUUAACUAGACAGUAACGAAAUAUUCCUACUUUAUGCUGUGAUAGUUUGUUUGUUUGUUUGUUUGUUUAUUUAUUUAUUUAUUUAAGACAGAGUUUCGCUCUUGUUGCCCAGGCUGGAGUGCAGUGGCACGAUCUCAGCUCACCACAACCUCCGCCUCCCAGGUUCAAGCGAUUCUCCUGCCUCAGCCUCCCGAGUAGCUGGGAUUACAGGCAUGUACCACCACGCCCGGGUAAUUUUGUAUUUUUAGUAGAGACGGGGGGUUUCUCCAUGUUGGUCAGGCUGGUCUAGAACUCCAGACCUCAGGUGAUACCCCUGCCUCAGCCUCCCAAUGUGCUGGGAUUACAGCUGUGAAGCCACCGCGCCCGGCUGCUGUGAUAGUUGAGAUGUAAACCAAAAAUAAAAUUCUAAGCCACCCAGUCCGACUGAAUGGACCCUUCCUGUUGAGCAAGGACAUUCCAAAGUAAACUGAAAAGACCAGCUUAGGCCAUGAUGGGAAGGGGAGGUGUCAACAUGCCUCAUUCUACCUUCCUCCCUCUGGAAUCCAGACACAACUGACCAGCAUUAACAUUAAAACAGAGAUCUUAAGCUGGGCACAGUGGCUCAUGCCUAUAAUCCCAGCACUUUGGGAGGCCAAGGUGGGAUCACCUGAGGUCAGAAGUUCAAGACCAGCCUGGCCAGUAUGGUGAAGCCAUGUCUCUACUAAAAAUACAAAAUUAGCCGGACAUUGUGGUGCACGUCUGUCAUCCCAGCAAGGCAGGCGAAUCACUUGAACCCAGGAAGCAGAGGUUGCAGUGAGCCAGGAUCAUGCCAUUGCACUCCAGCCUGGUCAACAGAGCGAGACUCCGCCUCAUUAAAAAAAAAAAAAAAAAAAAAAA
RNAcentral lists this long non-coding RNA (2453 nucleotides) under Homo sapiens (human). Its description in RNAcentral is "non-protein coding lnc-CRYM-3:2". The record is from RNAcentral. Lineage: Eukaryota; Metazoa; Chordata; Mammalia; Primates; Hominidae.